CCGAGGAGCCUCGGUAGCCGCGACCGGGGGCCUGGCCUCGCAGGGGAGGCGAAGUGGACUUGACUCAACUGCUCCAGGAGGAGGAGGAGUGCUGGACAAGUGGCUGAGGCAGUGUCACAGGCUCCCAUUCAGCAGGCACUACCGGGCUCUGCGGAUGGGAAACACCAGAUGGGCCUGGAAACUGAAAAGAGGCGGGGACCUUGCCCAAGCACCAGUCACCACUGCCCCAGCAGCUACAGCGCACCCGGAUGGAGAGGCACAGACGGCUUCCUCUUCCGAGGCCUCCGGGAGCGCAGCCCUCAGGAGGGGUGGCCAUGGCCCUAUCCCCAGCACCCCAACCGGCUCCUGCUGCCUGGCUUCUCCCCUCCUCUCUCCAUCACUGGCUCCACUCAGCUCUUAUCUGCUCGGGGUUGGCAGGAGAAGCAGGCUGAUGUGGUUUGGCCUGCAGAGACCAGGUCGGAGUCCAGAGGGCCUGGCGUGACUCCAAACAGACUCAGCAGCCCGUUAGGUCCCAACCGUCAAGGCUAACCCCGGACUUGAGAGGCCCUGAUGCCCCUGUGUGCCGCCCACCUACCGCUCUCCCUCUGUCCUCAGGGGACACAGCCCCAGGCCCAGGGGACCCCUGAAACUGCAGACACCCCCAAGCCCUCUAGGUAUGGUUCUCCUGGAGAUUCGCACCCAUGACGGGGUUUAAUUUACAAAUUAGGCAUAGUGAGAGGUUAACGACAAUAACAACCAAAUAGACUGACUUUAACAACAUUGUAAUAAAAGUUG
Long non-coding RNA from Heterocephalus glaber (naked mole-rat), 774 nucleotides. NCBI's taxonomy places the organism in Eukaryota, Metazoa, Chordata, Mammalia, Rodentia, Bathyergidae. The record is from Ensembl.